Molecule: ribosomal RNA, 255 nt
Filed under: uncultured bacterium
Lineage: Bacteria
Description: partial 16S ribosomal RNA
Rfam family: Bacterial small subunit ribosomal RNA
Source: RNAcentral
CAAUACUUUGGUGGCGACCGGCGCACGGGUGCGUAACGCGUAUGCAACCUACCUUUAACAGGGGCAUAACACUGAGAAAUUGGUACUAAUUCCCCAUAACAUUCGAGAAGGCAUCUUCUUGGGUUAAAAACCCCGGUGGUUAAAGAUGGGCAUGCGUUGUAUUAGCUAGUUGGUGAGGUAACGGCUCACCAAGGCAACGAUACAUAGGGGGACUGAGAGGUUAACCCCCCACAUUGGUACUGAGACACGGACCAA